Molecule: unclassified non-coding RNA, 267 nt
Filed under: Hevea brasiliensis (rubber tree)
Lineage: Eukaryota; Viridiplantae; Streptophyta; Magnoliopsida; Malpighiales; Euphorbiaceae
Source: RNAcentral
ACAUCUGCACUAGUAUCACGUACUCACUCUAAACUGGAAAUAGAAAUACAAUCAAAGCAAAAUCUGCAUUCAAACAGUUUCAAACAGAAUUUAAACCAAGUUGAAGCAUAUCCGUCAUAAUCGACGAUGAAUCAAUCACAUCAAAUAAUCUUUCGAUGAAGAGUAUAGAAGUCGAAACAAGUAACCCAAAACAGUGACAAAACAGAGGAAAUAACAGCAUUCAUCGUAUCGCACUCAACACUAACACAAGACGUAAGUGAAAGGAAG